GACGAACGCUGGCGGCGUGCCUAAUACAUGCAAGUAGAACGCACAGUUUAUACCGUAGCUUGCUACACCAUAGACUGUGAGUUGCGAACGUGUGAGUAACGCGUAGGUAACCUGCCUGGUAGCGGGGGAUAACUAUUGGAAACGAUAGCUAAUACCGCAUAAUAUUGAUUAUUGCAUGAUAAUUAAUUGAAAGGUGCAAUUGCACCACUACCAGAUGGACCUGCGUUGUAUUAGCUAGUAGGUGAGGUAACGGCUCACCUAGGCGACGAUACAUAGCCGACCUGAGAGGGUGAUCGGCCACACUGGGACUGAGACACGGCCCAGACUCCUACGGGAGGCAGCAGUAGGGAAUCUUCGGCAAUAGACGAAAGUCUGACCGAGCAACGCCGCGUGAGUGAAGAAGGUUUUCGGAUCGUAAAGCUCUGUUGUAAGAGAAGAACGGGUGUGAGAGUGGAAAGUUCACACUGUGACGGUAUCUUACCAGAAAGGGACGGCUAACUACGUG
RNAcentral lists this ribosomal RNA (505 nucleotides) under uncultured bacterium. RNAcentral describes it as "partial 16S ribosomal RNA". It matches the Rfam family "Bacterial small subunit ribosomal RNA", at positions 28 to 507 of the family's 1533-position model. The record is from RNAcentral.